UCCCAUGUGGCUCAGUUGGUAGAGCAUGGUGUUUGCAACGCCAGGGUUGUGGGUUCAAUUCCCACAGGGGAC
Molecule: non-coding RNA, 72 nt
Organism: Salmo salar (Atlantic salmon)
Lineage: Eukaryota; Metazoa; Chordata; Actinopteri; Salmoniformes; Salmonidae
Source: Rfam